CCUACGGGAGGCAGCAGUGAGGAAUAUUGGUCAAUGGACGCAAGUCUGAACCAGCCAUGCCGCGUGCAGGAAGACGGCUCUAUGAGUUGUAAACUGCUUUUGUACGAGGGUAAACGCAGAUACGCGUAUCUGUCUGAAAGUAUCGUACGAAUAAGGAUCGGCUAACUCCGUGCCAGCAGCCGCGGUAAUACGGAGGAUUCAAGCGUUAUCCGGAUUUAUUGGGUUUAAAGGGUGCGUAGGCGGUCGGAUAAGUUAGAGGUGAAAUCCCUGGGCUCAACUUCGGAAUUGCCUCUGAUACUGUUCGGCGAGAGAGUAGUUGCGGUAGGCGGAAUGUAUGGUGUAGCGGUGAAAUGCUUAGAGAUCAUACAGAACACCGAUUGCGAAGGCAGCUUACCAAGCUACUUCUGACGUUGAGGCACGAAAGCGUGGGGAGCAAACAGGAUUAGAUACCCCAGUAGUC
This 460-nucleotide ribosomal RNA is filed under the name uncultured bacterium. RNAcentral's name for it is "partial 16S ribosomal RNA". It matches the Rfam family "Bacterial small subunit ribosomal RNA", at positions 338 to 795 of the family's 1533-position model. The record is from RNAcentral.